GCAGCAGCCGCGGGAAUACGAAGGGUGCAAGCGUUAAUCGGAAUUACUGGGCGUAAAGCGUGCGUAGGCGGUUUGUUAAGUCUGUUGUGAAAUCCCCGGGCUCAACCUGGGAAUGGCAAUGGAUACUGGCAAGCUAGAGUGUGUCAGAGGAUGGUGGAAUUCCCGGUGUAGCGGUGAAAUGCGUAGAGAUCGGGAGGAACAUCAGUGGCGAAGGCGGCCAUCUGGGACAACACUGACGCUGAGGCACGAAAGCGUGGGGAGCAAACAGGAUUAGAUACCCGGGUAGUCCCUGUCUCUUAUAC
Molecule: ribosomal RNA, 302 nt
Filed under: uncultured bacterium
Lineage: Bacteria
Description: partial 16S ribosomal RNA
Rfam family: Bacterial small subunit ribosomal RNA
Source: RNAcentral